UGGUGAUUGCACUUACACUUACGUAGUAAGUGAUGAUUCAAAUGGGCAUAUGGAAGACACAGAGGGUUCAUGAGAGGAAACUGAUGAUUUCGAUGAGCAUAUGGAAGACACAGACUGUGCAAGAGUGGAAAAUGAUGAUUUGGAUGAGCAUAUGGAAGACGCAGACGGUACAGGACAGGAAGCCUCUUCUGACUGUGCACUUUUCAGAGGUAAAGUGUACCGGGACUUGACAAUAGAAGAUCUGAAUGGUGUUGAGUUCAAGAAUUUUGAAGAGGUGGAACUGUUUUACUCCUAUUAUUCACUGGCGAAUGGUUUCAGUAUGAGGAAGAAAAAAUUGGACUGGAAUAGUUCUGGAACAGUAAUAAUUAGAAGAGAGCUGGUUUUCUCAAAAGAAGGAAGGAGAAAAGAAACAGGGAAGGAGGGCAUGCGUGAGAAUCCCACGCAGAAGUCGCAAAAUUUUGUUGUGAAGGAUUGUCAGCAUAUGCUCAAACGGAAAACAAAGUGCGUUGGGCAAAGCAGUGGCCAAAAACAGUGCACAAAGACUCGCAGGCAAACUAGGGCGUAUUGUCCGGCAGCAUUCGCUGUUAAUGGUGUGCCAAAAAGAAAAUCUACUAUGCCUCAAAGUUCAUCACAUAACACAACCAUCCUUUGGCCAGAGAUGAGCAUCUUCAGUUCCUCAAUUCACAUAGGCAUGUUAGUGACCACGCCAUCGCCCAAGUUAGGGCAAUGCAGCAGGUUUCAGUGCCGAAGUGUCGUGCUUUUGAGCUACUUGUGCACCAAGCUGGAGGCCGAGAUUACGUCGGAUUCACAAUUAGGGACUUGUAUAACAAGUUGAAGGCUGAGAAGGGGGAUUUAUUGUUGGAUGGUGAUGCCCAGGCUUCAAUCACUUGGAUGAAGAUGAAUGCAAUGCGAGAUCCCCACUUUUAUUGUGUAUACAGUUCUAAUGAGAAUGGGAGGCUAGCCAAUAUGUUCUGGAGAGAUGGGCAGUCUUUGUCUGAUUUCACAAAUUUUGGUGACGUACUUAUAUUCGAUAGCACUUGCAAGAGCAAUAUAUAUGACAAGCCACUGGCUGUCUUUGUUGGGUUGAAUAAUCAUAGAGCCACUGUUCUAUUCGGAUGUGCAUUGUUGGUGAAUGAAACAGAGGAAACCUAUAAUUGGGUUUUCAACGCUUUCCUGACCUCAAUGCAUGGGAAAAAACCCAUCUCCGUGAUCACUGAUGGAGAUGAUGCAAUGCAUAAUGCAGUACUUAAUCUGUUACCUGAGGCUCGUCACCGUCUUUGUGCAUGGCACAUUGGACAAAAUGUGCGAAAACAUUUGAAAGACGGAGACGUCCAGAAAGAGUUUUUCCAUUUGAUAUUUGCAGGCUUGACCAUUAAUGAAUGGGAAUCUGCGUGGAAAUACUUUGUUGCAAUGAACAGACUGGAAAAUAAUAAAUGGGUUGCCAGUAUGUAUGGCAAACGUGAUCGGUGGGCAGAGGCUUUCUUCUGACAUCAAUUUUUUGCUGGUGUGAGGGGACACACAGAAAUUUGAAAGGAGGUAUUGAGCAUUGCAUGAAGCUGUGCAUGUUUUUGCCACGUAUGCAGAAGAACAUUGAGCGUUCAAGGCAUCGGGUUUUGGAGGAUGAGUUCCGCUCAGAGCAGUGUGAGCCAGUGUAUGGUGAGCACCUGCGUUGUUUGCAAGAGCAGAUUGGUAAAAUUUUCACUCAUGACAUCUUCCUCUUAAUCAAGGAUCAGAUUAACUUUGAGUCAAAGUUUGUUAUGGUUUCUAGAGAAGUUAAUUCCCACAUUGGAGCUUGGACUAUUACAUUCACCCAAUUUGGUAAGCUCGAGCGGAAUGGGAUGUAGUUUACCAACCAGAUGAGAAGAACCCCAGAUUUGCAUGUUCCUGGAAUCUCUUUGAGUCUGAUGGGAUUCCGUGUUGCCACAUAUUUGCAACAAUGAAAUCUGAAAUGAUUACCAGGUUCCCGGAAUCAUUAGUAAAUGACAGAUGGAAAAAAGACACUGGUCGGAACAAGAUAUUAAUUCCAUCAGGUCCAGCAGAUGAAAAGUUUAUGAGGAUGGCAACGUACGGUGAAUUAAUGGGAAUUUUUGCAAAACUUUCCCAUGCCGCUAUGCAUAGUAAGGAAGGGUAUGUUGAGAUAAGGGAAGCUCUUACGCAGAUGGCCCUAAAAUCUGAAAAAUACAAAGCUGCAACAAGAGACCCCGAUGAUGUCCCCUUUGAAGGUCUCCAUCCUAAUGUGAUCAGAGACCCUGUUGUUUGUAGGACAAAAGGCGACAAGUCUAAGGCCAGCAUUCCCGACAACGAGGAAGACUACAAGUCCAAAGUUGGAAAGGGGUGCUCACUUUGCAAAAUGAUCGGGCACAACGCCAGAACAUGUGAUCUUAAAAAUAAGGGAAAACAGAGUGGGAAGCGAGCUACACAGCAGACCAAAGUGAAGAGAUGUACGAAGCAAGUUGUUGAAAACAUGUCUGAAAAUAGCAGUUCUGAUUGUGAUACUGGUGACAGCAGUGGUUAUGAAGAUGAAUCUACCACCAUGCCUCAACGCACCAUGACCAGUUUGAUGCAUAGCUUGGAAGAGGCUCGGCCAUUAGAGUUUUUUACCGGUUAUGAGAGAGGUAACAAUCUGGAAUCAGGAUCCACAAGUUCUGGUCUUCCCAUCUUUAAACACUUCAAGCCCUUCCCGGAUGAGUGAUGAACAUAGUACUUUAUGCCUCAGACAUGCCGGAUAUACUUCAAUGAAGAAGUUGGAAUAGUCACCUCUUGCUUAUUUUGAAGUCUCUGGUGUUUGUAAUCGCCAUGUUUUUGCAUAUGACUGAAAUGUUAUGAUCAUUGUGGAUUUGAGAGGCAACUUUAUACAUGGUGUUUCUGAGGAAGAUAUGAAUU
RNA transcript from Argentina anserina (silverweed cinquefoil), 2883 nucleotides. RefSeq lists it as uncharacterized. NCBI's taxonomy places the organism in Eukaryota, Viridiplantae, Streptophyta, Magnoliopsida, Rosales, Rosaceae. The transcript has 2 exons. The record is from RefSeq and is a predicted model, not a curated record.